RNAcentral lists this long non-coding RNA (1289 nucleotides) under Zonotrichia albicollis (white-throated sparrow). RNAcentral's name for it is "lncRNA (ENSZALG00000007992.1)". The record is from RNAcentral. Lineage: Eukaryota; Metazoa; Chordata; Aves; Passeriformes; Passerellidae.
CAUCGCUGUGGCAAAGCCCGGCUGGGGCUGCCCUGUCUCUCCAACCCACAGCCGGUUUUUUUUUCCGGAGGAGUUUUCUCAAAUGAGGGCAAUUAAAACAAUGGGAAAAUGGAAAGUUUUUGUCAGGGAGCCGCAGUGGCAGAGGGGGAAGGUGCUGCGGUGAGUCAGCCUUCCAAAGAGAAGCCCCAGCGCCAGGUAAACAAGCUGCAGAGCGGGAGGUGUUACUCACCUGCCCGGCCUGGGAGGCACCGGCAAAACCCUCCAGGAAAGGGCUCGGGAGCUCCGAAUCCCCCUGGAGAGAGGAGCAGCCCCUGCUCCUGUCACCCUGAGAGAUGCUGCAGCUCCAUCACUGCCAUGUCCGCCGGGAUGUCACCACCCUGGGGACACGGGAUGUCACCGCUCCGGGGACACGGGCCGGUGGCUCUGCCGUGUUCUCCCGGCCCUGGUGCCGCACAUUUCACAUUUUUCCGCAGGGCCGGGCAGGGGCAGCACAGCCGGGUGCUCCUCCCGUGUGGCCAUCGCUCCCCACGGGACCUCGGGCAAGUCCCUGAGUGGCUCCGUGCCGCCGGCCUGCUGUCAUUACCGCGGAGCCAGCCAGACAGACAGACAGACAGACGGAUGGAUGCCCGGGGGAGAGGGCAGGAGUCAGGGCUCGGAGCUGGCGAGCCCUGGGAUCCACACUUGGUCCAGGAUUGGGCUGAAAGGGCUCCCCCGUCCUGCCCUGCUCCACCUGGGGUGGGAGCAUCCCAUCCCAUCUGCACCUGCAGGGAUGCAGAGCCUUCCACAGCCCUGCCCGGGGAACAUCUGCCAAAGGAAACACUGACCAAAGGAGGCUUGGAUGCCCCUGGAGCCACCGUGGGUCUUAUAGGGGUGAGACCCACAGUGGGGAAAUCCAUAUGGGGUGAAAAACACAUUGCUGGAUGGAGAGAAAGGCCCCUGUGCCCAGCUGUCACAGAAUCAGAGUGGUUCAAAUUGCAAGAGAUCUCAAAGACCAUCUUGUUCCACCCUCUGUCCCAAGGCAGGGACAGCUUCCACUAAACCAGGUUGCUCCAAGCUCCAUUCAAUUGCAUUUUUCCCACUAGAAAAGCUAAAAGGACACAAAUGAUGACCUAAAAUGAUCCACUGGAGGAAACCCACAGCUCUCAGCUGCAGCUGGUGCAGUCCAGAGGGGAGGAUGCAGCUUCCAUGGGGCUGGAAAGGCCCAUGAGGAUGGGCCAGAGCAAGCUGCACAUGCAUGCAGAGGCUUGGGCUUGUCCCAGAAGCCACAAUAAAUCCUCUCCCACCAAGCA